AAGGGGUUAGUUUUAUAUAGAAUAAAAGAUUGUCAUUCUUUAGGAAUUUUGUCGGAAUACUCCUUG
Molecule: transfer RNA, 66 nt
Filed under: Syndesmis echinorum
Lineage: Eukaryota; Metazoa; Platyhelminthes; Rhabdocoela; Umagillidae
Description: tRNA-Asp
Source: RNAcentral